CUGGUGAUAGCCCAGCAAUGGAAAAAUCAAUCGGAAAGACCCAUGGCUCUGGUUUAAUGCUGUGUGGGAUGUGGCCUUAGCAGAAUGACUUAGCUAUCAUAGAAGAGUUAUACAAGGAACUUCCAGAAGAGACAAGUUUGACACGAUGAUUAGGUGAUGAAUUUUGGAGGCAGUUGGAUAUUCAGUCAUGAAGAUUUCCGAACUUUGAGGAAUUGCCACUCUAGUUUAUUUAGAAAAAGAACUCUUUUGUUUUCCUAGAAUUGGGGAAGAAGUGAAGACAACAGUAUAACUGAACUACUCAUAACUUACUUGAAGCCAGGUCUUAGACCAGCACGCACACAAUGACUUGGAGCUGAAGAUGUGAUCUGACAACAGGCUUUGCAUUUGGAGAGAUACAAGGCUUUUCUCCCAAGUGAUUUGUAGAAGGUUUUGACCUUUGUCAGUUUUAUUGUUGUCUUCAUUUAUCUACUGCCACAGGUAAAGAGAAUGUAAAUAAAAAAUGAUGUAUCCUUCAAAUAUUUAGAUACAUCUGGAGACAAAAAUACCAGGAAAGAAACAUUUCUUAAACUUUUUGGUGUCUAUAAUAAAUGCUUUAAGACUCUGUCAUGCAUAUAUAUAUUGGUUUCCAAACCAUGGUUACAGGGCUAGAGGAUAGCCUGCACAAUCCAUUAUUUCCAUCUCCUCUGGAUAAUCUUUUGGGAAGUGCAGCAGCUCAGAGUGUUGGAGAAGUCUCCUGAAAAAUGUGGGCUGUGUUGUGUUGAGUGGUAGUGGGGAGGGAAAAAAUACCUGAAAUUUGGCUGAGGAACCUUGCAUGAGCCUGAUUAUAGACACUUCCCUCUUCCCACUAUACAGUCCUGUACAACCACAACCAACAUUUUUCAGUAGGGUCCCUCAGCCGCCUGGAAAGGCUUUUCAGAGGAAAAAAAUAGUUGUGCAAACUGUAUUCUGUUUAUGCAUCUGUUGGAUACAAUUCUUAAUGGGUCUUGAAGAUUUUAAUAAUGCUGUCUAAGAGUUACUAGCCUGACAAUUGACUCCCUUUCUGAAACACUGGAAAAUUGAGUUAUUUGGAAGAAACUGUUCAUAAAUAGCAAGUCUGAGAUAACAGCAUAUCCCAGUACAAUGCAGCCUGAUCAUCAGGCCUGCAAUUCUAUUGAAGAGAACCAUUUUGCAGGCAGAGAAGUUAAUUGAUUUUGAGUGUUCUCCAGAUGGAGA
Long non-coding RNA from Lacerta agilis (Sand lizard), 1212 nucleotides. RefSeq lists it as uncharacterized. Lineage: Eukaryota; Metazoa; Chordata; Lepidosauria; Squamata; Lacertidae. The record is from RefSeq and is a predicted model, not a curated record. The transcript has 4 exons.